GGAAGGAUCAUUACCACACCGAUCCAAGAUCUCCCACACUGUGAACCUGAGCAGCUGAUAUGAAUGUAUAUUUGUCACGGAGGCAACCAGCCUAGUCUGUCUGUCUGUUGUGCAAGUAUGUAUGAUAUUGGUCUGUUCUGCCGAAAGAGUAACCUCUUUUCCACACGUAACCAAACCUGACCAAAUGACCUAAGAUGAAAAGAUUAGACUUUGCAAUGCAGCCUGUUGAGAAGCAGAACGCGUUCUUUGACUAAUCUGGUAUUAUGCCAAUCAAAAUACAACUUUCAGCGAUGGAUGUCUAGGUUCCCACAACGAUGAAGAACGCAGCGAAAUGCGAUACGUAAUGCGAAUUGCAAGACCUCGUGAAUCAUCAAGAUUUUGAACGCACAUUGCGCUUCCGGGAUUUUCUCGGGAGCAUGCUUGUCUGAGUGUCAGCGAACCCCACUCAACACUGACGCUAGUCAGUAGUUGGACUGUGACUGUGCCAUUUUAGUGUUCUAAAGUCGGCUCAUUUCAAACACAGCGUCGCAUGAACUUAUCGUGUGACCAUGUAGCCUGUGCAUUGUCGUGUUCGACUGUGACCUGGUUUCUGCCGAAAGCAUGCAUCUUGAUGCCAUUUCGUCUUCGCUAGUUUGAUCUGGUUGUACUACUUUGUAGCGUGACCAGUAUCGAAGUGAGGAGGCUUAUAAUGGUAAAGAAUGCUGCAAGUCAGAAGUUCGAGUCCACCUGUAACACCAGCGACAAAGCAUAGACUCAGCAAUGAUUGUUUGUUUUAGCUUUUAUUUCUGCAGCACUCCUGUACUGUAGAACAUAUACGCUAGAAGAAACAUGACACUUUCGUUUCUGAUCUCAGCUCAAGCAAGAGGACCCGCUGAAUUUAAGCAUAUAAUUAAGCGGAGGAAAAGAAACUAACCAGGAUUCCCUCAGUAAGGGCGACUGAAGCGGGAAUAGCUCACCAUGUGAAUCUGCGCUCUUUGAGCGUCGAAUUGUGGUCUGGAGACUCUUGCAUUAUUGACCGGACUAAGUCCCUUGGAACAGGGCAGCAGAGAGGGUGAGACUCCCGUUCGUCUGGCCAUUUGAGCAAGUGUCUACGAGUCGAGUUGUUUGGGAUUGCAGCUCAAAGUGGGUGGUAAAUUCCAUCUAAAGCUAAAUACUGGUGGGAGACCGAUAGCGUACAAGUACCGUGAGGGAAAGAUGCAAAGAACUUUGAAAAGAGAGUUAAAGAGUACCUGAAAUUGCUGAAAAGGAAGCGAAGGAAACCAGUGCCAGUUGAGUCAUACUUCCCUGAUCGCUUGCGGUCUGGGCGCUGUGGCCAGCGUUGUCAGUUUUGGUUGGACUUGCCGGAACCGCGUUCAGGUAGUUGACCUGUCCUUGUCGCGGCCGGUCUGACUGAGUCUGACGAAAUGGUUUUCUUUACCCCGUCUUGAAACACGGACCAAGGAGUUUAACAUAUGUGCGAGUACAGGGGUGGCAAACCCCGGUGCGCAAUGAAAGUGACAGUGGCUGGAAUUUUUGCACAGUCCGCCGGCCAUAAUCCUUUGGGAGAACGGUCUGAGUGUGAGCAUACAUGUUGAGACCCGAAAGAUGGUGAACUAUGCCUGAAUAGGGUGAAGCCAGGGGAAACUCUGGUGGAGGCUCGUAGCGAUUCUGACGUGCAAAUCGAUCGUCAAAUUUGGGUAUAGGGGCGAAAGACUAAUCGAACUAUCUAGUAGCUGGUUCCCUC
RNAcentral lists this unclassified non-coding RNA (1723 nucleotides) under uncultured fungus. RNAcentral's name for it is "sequence contains 18S rRNA gene, ITS1, 5.8S rRNA gene, ITS2, 28S rRNA gene". The stretch from base 845 to 1723 matches the Rfam family "Eukaryotic large subunit ribosomal RNA", at positions 1 to 961 of the family's 3401-position model. Lineage: Eukaryota; Fungi. The record is from RNAcentral.